UGCUAUUUGGGUGAGGAUAAGCCAUGCGAGUCGAAUGGGAUACCUAAAUUUCCCAUGGCAAACUGCUCAAUAACACAUGAUCAACUUACCCUAUAGAGAAAAAUAACCUCGGGAAACUGAGGAUAAUGUUUCAUAGUUGAAAAGGCUUGGAAAAGUUUUUCGACCAAAGGGAUAAGAAAAAUGGUUUUUAUCCGCUAUAGGAUAGGAUCGUGGUCGAUUAUGGUCGUUGGUGAGGUAAUGGCUCACCAAGCCGAUAAUCGAUAGGGGCCGUGAGAGCGGGAGCCCCGAGAUGGGUACUGAGACAGCGACCCAGGUCUUACGAGACGCAGCAGGCGCGGAACCUCCGCAAUACACGAAAGUGUGACGGGGUUACCCAAAGUGUUCAAUUUUGAACUGUGGUAGGUGAGUAAUGUUCCCUACUAGAAAGGAGAGGGCAAGGCUGGUGCCAGCCGCCGCGGUAAAACCAGCUCUUCAAGUGGUCGGGAUAAUUAUUGGGCUUAAAGUGUCCGUAGCCGGUUUAGUAAGUUCCUGGUAAAAUCGGGUAGCUUAACUAUCUGCAUGCUAGGAAUACUGCUAUACUAGAGGGCGGGAGAGGUCUGAGGUACUACAGGGGUAGGGGUGAAAUCUUAUAAUCCUUGUAGGACCACCAGUGGCGAAGGCGUCAGACUGGAACGUGCCUGACGGUGAGGGACGAAAGCCAGGGGAGCGAACCGGAUUAGAUACCCGGGUAGUCCUGGCCGUAAACGAUGCAUACUAGGUGAUGGCAUGGCCAUGAGCCGUGUCAGUGCCGUAGGGAAACCGUUAAGUGUGCCGCCUGGGAAGUACGGUCGCAAGGCUAAAACUUAA
Molecule: ribosomal RNA, 846 nt
Filed under: uncultured archaeon
Lineage: Archaea
Description: bacterial SSU rRNA
Rfam family: Archaeal small subunit ribosomal RNA
Source: RNAcentral